RNAcentral lists this ribosomal RNA (253 nucleotides) under uncultured bacterium. RNAcentral's name for it is "partial 16S ribosomal RNA". It matches the Rfam family "Bacterial small subunit ribosomal RNA", at positions 524 to 776 of the family's 1533-position model. The record is from RNAcentral.
UACGAAGGGUGCAAACGUUGCUCGGAAUUAUUGGGCGUAAAACGCACGUAGGCGGCUUAGCAAGUAGGAAGUGAAAUCCCACGGCUCAACCAUGGAAGUGCUUUCGAAACUGCUGAGCUUGAGUACAAAAGAGGAUCGCGGAAUUCCCGGUGUAGAGGUGAAAUUCGUAGAUAUCGGGAGGAACACCAGUGGCGAAGGCGGCGAUCUGGGUUGAUACUGACGCUGAGGUGCGAAAGCGUGGGGAGCAAACAGG